This 253-nucleotide ribosomal RNA is filed under the name uncultured bacterium. RNAcentral describes it as "partial 16S ribosomal RNA". It matches the Rfam family "Archaeal small subunit ribosomal RNA", at positions 474 to 727 of the family's 1478-position model. The record is from RNAcentral.
UACCUGCAGCCCGAGUGGUGCUCGUUAUUAUUGGGUCUAAAUCGUCCGUAGUCGGUUGGGUAGAUGCCUGGGUAAAUCGAGGCGCUUAACGUCUCGAAUUCCAGGUAGACCGCCCGGCUUGGGAUCGGGAGAGGUGCAAAGUACUCCGGGGGUAGGGGUAAAAUCCUGUAAUCCUCGGGGGACUACCAGUGGCGAAGGCGUUGCACUAGAACGAGUCCGACGAUCAGGGACGAAGCCCUGGGGCGCAAACGGG